This 475-nucleotide ribosomal RNA is filed under the name uncultured organism. Its description in RNAcentral is "partial 16S ribosomal RNA". It matches the Rfam family "Bacterial small subunit ribosomal RNA", at positions 331 to 797 of the family's 1533-position model. The record is from RNAcentral.
GUACACUCCUGCGGGAGGCAGCAGUGGGGAAUUUUGGACAAUGGGCGAAAGCCUGAUCCAGCAAUGCCGCGUGAGUGAAGAAGGCCUUCGGGUUGUAAAGCUCUUUUGUCAGGGAAGAAACGGUGAGAGCUAAUAUCUCUUGCUAAUGACGGUACCUGAAGAAUAAGCACCGGCUAACUACGUGCCAGCAGCCGCGGUAAUACGUAGGGUGCAAGCGUUAAUCGGAAUUACUGGGCGUAAAGCGUGCGCAGGCGGUUUUGUAAGUCUGAUGUGAAAUCCCCGGGCUCAACCUGGGAAUUGCAUUGGAGACUGCAAGGCUAGAAUCUGGCAGAGGGGGGUAGAAUUCCACGUGUAGCAGUGAAAUGCGUAGAUAUGUGGAGGAACACCGAUGGCGAAGGCAGCCCCCUGGGUCAAGAUUGACGCUCAUGCACGAAAGCGUGGGGAGCAAACAGGAUUAGAAACCCGAGUAGUCCCA